GCCCGCCUAGCUCAAUCGGAUAGAGCGUCAGACUCUUAGGCGGGGUUAAUUCCUUGUGAUCUGAAGGCUGCGAGUUCGACCCUCGCGGUGGGCU
This is a non-coding RNA of Tephrocybe sp. NHM501043, 94 nucleotides long. The record is from the annotation of a GenBank genome assembly. NCBI's taxonomy places the organism in Eukaryota, Fungi, Basidiomycota, Agaricomycetes, Agaricales, Lyophyllaceae.